RNAcentral lists this ribosomal RNA (301 nucleotides) under uncultured bacterium. Its description in RNAcentral is "partial 16S ribosomal RNA". It matches the Rfam family "Bacterial small subunit ribosomal RNA", at positions 509 to 807 of the family's 1533-position model. The record is from RNAcentral.
CAGCAGCCGCGGUAAGACAGAGGAUGCGAGCGUUAAUCGGAUUUACUGGGCGUAAAGCGUGCGUAGGCGGCUUUUUAAGUCGGAUGUGAAAUCCCUGAGCUUAACUUAGGAAUUGCAUUCGAUACUGGGAAGCUAGAGUAUGGGAGAGGAUGGUAGAAUUCCAGGUGUAGCGGUGAAAUGCGUAGAGAUCUGGAGGAAUACCGAUGGCGAAGGCAGCCAUCUGGCCUAAUACUGACGCUGAGGUACGAAAGCAUGGGGAGCAAACAGGAUUAGAUACCCCGGUAGUCCCUGUCUCUUAUAC